AGAGUUUGAUCCUGGCUCAGAUUGAACGCUGGCGGCAUGCCUUACACAUGCAAGUCGAACGGCAGCACGGGAGCUUGCUCCUGGUGGCGAGUGGCGAACGGGUGAGUAAAGCAUCGGAACGUACCUUGUCGAGGGGGAUAACGCAGCGAAAGUUGUGCUAAUACCGCAUACGUCCUGAGGGAGAAAGCGGGGGACCGCAAGGCCUCGCGCGAUGAGAGCGGCCGAUGUCAGAUUAGCUAGUUGGUGAGGUAAAGGCUCACCAAGGCGACGAUCUGUAGCGGGUCUGAGAGGAUGAUCCGCCACACUGGGACUGAGACACGGCCCAGACUCCUACGGGAGGCAGCAGUGGGGAAUUUUGGACAAUGGGGGAAACCCUGAUCCAGCCAUGCCGCGUGAGUGAAGAAGGCCUUCGGGUUGUAAAGCUCUUUCGGCCGGGAAAAAAUUGCACGGAUGAACAGUCUGUGUAGAUGAUGGUACCGGACUAAGAAGCACCGGCUAACUACGUGCCAGCAGCCGCGGUAAUACGUAGGGUGCGAGCGUUAAUCGGAAUUACUGGGCGUAAAGCGUGCGCAGGCGGUUUUGUAAGACAGGCGUGAAAUCCCCGGGCUCAACCUGGGAACUGCGCUUGUGACUGCAAGACUCGAGUAC
RNAcentral lists this ribosomal RNA (648 nucleotides) under uncultured Veillonellaceae bacterium. Its description in RNAcentral is "bacterial SSU rRNA". It matches the Rfam family "Bacterial small subunit ribosomal RNA", at positions 8 to 649 of the family's 1533-position model. The record is from RNAcentral. Lineage: Bacteria; Bacillati; Bacillota; Negativicutes; Veillonellales; Veillonellaceae.